GAAACGACAAAAGGAAAAAGACCCAGAACCCCCGUCCCCCGACCUGAUCCGCUCCCCCAGUGCGCCGCCGCGACCGCCCCUUUCACCAGCGCGCCGUCGCGGCCUCUCCCUACCCCAGCGCGCCGCCGGUGCCUCCCCCAGCACGCCGUCGCGGCCUCCCCUCUCCUCCAGUGCGCAGCCCUGUCCCCACCUUCUCCCUCGGCUCCGGCCGCUGCCCCACACGUUCUCCCUCGGCUCCGGCCGCCGCCCCCACCUUCUCCCUCGCCUCCGGCCGCAGCCCCCACCUUCUCCCUCGGCUCCGGCCGCAGCCCCCACCUUCUCCCUCGGAUCCGGCCACCGCCCCGCACUCCAAUCACAGAUCGAGUCGUCGCCGUUGCCUUACCCUAGAUCGCACCGCCCAAAACCAUCUGUCGCCACCACGGCCACCCGAACGACGUCCUCACGCGCCGCCGCUAUCUCUCCUUGCUCCGCCGCCAGCCAAGCACCUCCUCACCUCCAUUGUUGUUCAGCACUUCCUCCAGUUCAUCCCAUGGCGGCUGCGCUCGUGGCCGAGCUCACUCCAAUCCCUCCACCACGCUACCUCCUUCCGCUGGUGAGGCUUCGUCGCUGCAACGCCCUGGCCAUUCACUGUCGCCAUCCCGGGCCGUUCAAUGAGACAGCGCCAAGUCGUUCGACACCGCAACUCAGGAGUCUGCCUCCUUUGACAGCUCCUGAUCUCCGGAACAACUAUGGCUCCCUGCUGGCACAACUUGCUCUCGACGACCUCCUUUGACAGCUUGCCUCUGAGGCCUACCAGACCCACACGACGACGCUAGCCGUCCACAGCCACCACCACAGGCCGUUCAACCCACCACUCAUGGCCGUUCUCAAAACCAUCCCAAAGUGUAGAUCGUACAUGAGGACAGGGCCGAGGCGGAGGCAGCAAAGAAAGAGCUAAGCGAUCCAGUAGAGUUUAUUGAUUGAAGACCUAGCUAGUGUGAGCAUCAAAAUACAAAGCAUAGUACAUCAGGAAAAAGCCAUCGCCGCCUCCCUGCAGCGCCGCCUCCGUUCAGCGCGCCAGCCCCGCCUCCCCACACAUGGCUUGCGAAGAGUCGGCGGUGCCGCUGAAGACGACGGGGCAGUUCUACUUGUCCGUGAUGACCAGGACGACGUCACUAUCUGUGCUCGGCCAUAGCAUGGGGUUAGGCCGGAAUCCACCCCGUGACAGGUCAACGUCAGGGUCCACUGGGUUCCGUUCCUGAGAGAAGCAUCGCCGGCUGGGAGAGUUCAAUGAUCUGAACUAGGAAAGUUCAACGUGGAAAUUUGCUACAGAUUACAUUACUUGAGAAAUUUUCGUGUGUUUCACGUCAUCGUUGGCCCCAUGUUCGCUGGCAAGACCACGGCGCUACUCCACCGGCACUGGCAGUACGAGUUUCAAAGGCCAGGAAGUUCUACUGUUGGCAUACGCCAACUGAGCAUCGGUCGAAGAAGCCAAGGCACCUCGUGCUAGCUCUAGGCACCGCCAGAGGCCGUAACUGUUCUUCCACCGCUCCUGUGCACUCACCGUUGAGCCUCUCCAUGCACAGCUCUGGCAGCCCAACGUCACAACACAUAGUGGCCGGUGGUCCCUCCUCUCAGCUGCUCUAUGGCUUGCAGAGGCGUGAGAUUGCUAGAAGUUCAACAUGCGAAACCGUGCAUGUCCAUGCUCCUGCACCUCCAGGCAAACUCCAGUGAAGGUGUGACCAGUUUGGCCAUGGAUGAUCAACCAUUUGAGGAAAAUGGUACAGAUAUGUGAGAAAAAGAGAGAGCUUUCAUGGAGAAACAAAGAAGAUGUUGAUGAAUCAUUCAUGUGUCCAAGAGGGAGGUACAUGUUUUCUUUCCUGUACGUAUCUCCCAAACGUACAUUAGCUAGAGUGAGUGUUGGGAGAAAAUAAAUAAGUAUUCAGCCUUGUUUGACAAAGUGCAAGAACAAUGUUCUUUCAUUUGUGUUGAUGUAGUGUCCUUGAUUUUGUCUUGUCUUUUCAUCCUUGUUUGACAGAAUUGAAAGUUAAUCACAGGAAGGUAAGCAUCAGCAAUGAUGCCAGCAGCGGCCAGGAAUAAUGCCUCCAAUGCGCAAGCCCAGGAUGACGAUGCUGAUCACUAGCAGGAAGGACACCUGCAGGUUGAGGAUGAAGUACACAACGCAGGCAAUGAGGACGAACAAAACAUGGAAUCCGUACACAUAGCAGCAACUGCAAGUUCAAAUUUUCUGUGUAUGAUCCAGUUUCAAAAAAAAAAAAAAUUCUGUGUAUGAUGAUAUGAUUGCUACUUCUCAAAAGAAAGUGUACAUGAUAGUUCAGUACGAAUGAAAACAAAACGAUCAGUUCGAUAGUGCUCUCUCCUGCCUAUUUUGGUUGAUGUCCAUAAUGGACAAAAAAUUGUAUGAGAAUGUUCAAUUAGUACUGGCAUAUAAGUUUAAAAAAUAAAACACAGUUGGUCUGCCUGUGGAAUUUGAGAAA
Molecule: long non-coding RNA, 2477 nt
Organism: Aegilops tauschii subsp. strangulata
Lineage: Eukaryota; Viridiplantae; Streptophyta; Magnoliopsida; Poales; Poaceae
Source: RefSeq, a predicted model, not a curated record